Molecule: long non-coding RNA, 1159 nt
Filed under: Homo sapiens (human)
Lineage: Eukaryota; Metazoa; Chordata; Mammalia; Primates; Hominidae
Description: long intergenic non-protein coding RNA 1727
Source: RNAcentral
GGGCUGGUGCUCUCGUUCAGAUAGAUUUAGCUGGUGGUGCAGAGAUCCGUGAGCUUGCUUUUACAGGACUUUAAUGAUAUAUAAAAGCAGCACGAGGUGCUCCUGACUGUGGAUUAAUUUGGAGAUGACUUUCUCUGUUGAAGAGUAGCAAGACUCUCGCGAGUUCUUAAAAAUGCACUUGUUUGGUAUGAGAAUGAAAAGCAGUGGCUGAAGAACCAAUCUUCAAUGGGCAAGCCUUCUCUGUGUCUGUUCUAACACGUGCCAUUUGGGAUCCCUUGGAAUCUUCAUGUACAGAACUGGUUGCUGCCUCGUUGAGUCGGUGGGGACAGAAUAGCUCCUGGUUGACAGCAUGGGUUGUGCAGAAGGACGGAUCCUGCAGACAUCAAUAUCUGGCUUUGAGUGGCACAAAGAAAUAAAGGAAUGUGGAUUCAGACCUCACUGGGAUGCUUGGCAAUUCUAAUUCUACCCCAGACUGCAAAUGGACACACAACUGUUGUGACUUUUGUUGAAGAGGAGAAGGAUGGCACAGAAGCUGGAUUCAGAAGCACACAGGUCUGGGGAUGCAGGCUUCGGCCAGCCUGAUGCAAGGAAAGACUGCCAUCUCGUGGUCAGCUCAAUCCUGGCACCUUGGUGAGGGACCAGGCUGCAGAAAACCAGGCUUGGGGAGGAAACGGUGCUGCAAACUGGAUUUCUGCCGGACAGUGUGGAUGCCCUUAGAAAACACCCAGAAAAGAGCUGAGUGCCCCCCAAGGCUGUUUCCCAUAUAAGGUUCAUGACCCCCAGUGAGGAUGAAACUGCCUGCAAGGUUUGUCUUCUCUCCUGUUCACUGGUUACUCAGCCAGGCUGAUUCAUGGGCUUCUCAAAGGAGCUUGUUUAUCAGAAGCUUGUCUAAGACACCACGUCUUCCAGAAAAUCUCACCUGAGUCACCAACAGAUUCCUCUAAGAGUCUGUAAGCCACUCCUGACCAGCAGGAAACCCCAACAGAGGCAAAGAAUAGGAAAUUAAAUAUUUCGUCAAGAAAAAAUGAGAGGCUGGGUGCGGUGGCUCAUGCCUAUAUCCCAGCACUUUAGGAGGCCUAAGCGGGCGGAUCAUUUGAGGUCAGGAGUUUGAGACCAGCCCGGCCAACAUGGUGAAACCCUGUCUCUACUAAAAAUACAA